RNAcentral lists this unclassified non-coding RNA (231 nucleotides) under uncultured Trichoglossum. RNAcentral's name for it is "sequence contains ITS2". Lineage: Eukaryota; Fungi; Ascomycota; Geoglossomycetes; Geoglossales; Geoglossaceae. The record is from RNAcentral.
CACAAUCUCUCAAGCCUAGCUUGGGGUGUUGGGUCUUCGUCCCCUCCCUCUCCCUCUCUCUACCGUUCGGGUAGAGGGGAGAGGACCCGGAUGUACCUAAAAAUUAGUGGCGGUGCCCAUGUUGGUCUCAAGCGUAGCAGACUCUCUCUCGCUUUGGAUGACCUGUCAUGUUAGCCCACCAGCCCCUGCAUCAUGCAUGCAUGCAUGCAUGCAUGCACCUUUUUAACCAAG